Molecule: long non-coding RNA, 1846 nt
Filed under: Mus musculus (house mouse)
Lineage: Eukaryota; Metazoa; Chordata; Mammalia; Rodentia; Muridae
Description: predicted gene 2165
Source: RNAcentral
GAGAGAGAAGAAGGAGAAAAUGGAAGAGGGAGAGGAUGCAGAGGUGGAGGAAAACAAAGAAAAGCAGAGCAGAAGCCCAUCGCCUGGGGAAACUGCAAGUUCUAAGGGGUCUCAUAAGCUGUGGAAGAUGGUAGCAUAGUGGUAGAUCUGUCCAAUCUUGGUGCACAGCAUGUAACCAUAUUAACUGAGUUGUGUUUUCAUUGCUGGGGCAUAUUUGGGAGGAGAUUUACAUCAACACCAUGGUGUUACCACAAUGCUGCUACCUUAUUAGGGAAUUGAAAAACAUAGGUUCUCUCCAUGGAACACUGCAGAAGCAUGAUGGCUAAUUCGUUUGACAAGCUGGCAGGUCAAUCAACACCCUUCAGCCUGACUGUACCAGGUCUGAGUCUUCAGGCACCUGGUCAUCUGGGUCCAGGUUGAUGCUGCAGCAUGUCUUCUAACCCGCCUACCACCAGAGGGCAGCAGCGUACAUUCACAACAAUUGUUGAGAAGUGGAAGCCGAUGAAUCUUAUGUGCAGAAGAGGACAUAGCAAAAGAAGAAGCAUUCCAUACCACCUGCGUUCAUGCCUGCCAUGCCCUGGAUUUGGGCCCCCAUCUGAACCAUCUCCUGCACAUAACCAUGCUAUCAUAAUGAGGAAUCUUGAGAUCUGUGACAAUCUCUCUCUUCUCCCCAGCCCACAGCUCCAUCACACCCUACUCUAAUCACUAAGGAUCACUCAAGAUACUUCACUGUCUUCUGUUUUUCCAAAGUCCCUAAGUCACUUUAAGACUUUCUAUGUCCUCUGUAAACAGUCACAUACUCAUGUCUGGGGCUAGGUAUACAUGUGGAGAUAAGAGUGCAAGAGACAAGAAUGAAGGAGAGAAAAGUGAGGAAGGAAAAAUAAAGAGCUAUUUAUGUGGUAGGUCUGUGUUCCCCAAACACCAUGGGAUGAUCCAAGGAUAUCCAGCAUAAGGUGUGACUUCUUCAAAAUAGCCUUGAGUGAGCAGCUUAGCCCAGAGAAGACCUAAGGAUCCAAAGCAUUGCUGCAUAUUACUCUUAUGUGCAAAGAGGCCAGGAAGCUAUCCCAGGAAAUUUCAUCACAUCCCUCAAUGGCAGAUGCAUUCUACUGAGAAGAGAGCAACGGGUUCACUUGGCAAAUAUUGCUGUCACAUGAUGUCAAUGUAUCUGCAUCUCCUAUGACUUUAACUCAUCUGGAGCACUGCCUGCCUCAGGAGCCAGCACUUUUCCAAGCUGCCACAGGUCAACCUGGUCCUUGGUUUUCCUAAAGACUCCUUAGUCUGAGGGAAUUUACUUUCCCAUACUUCUGAGACCCAAAUAACCCAUUUCCCAAAUCCAGCCAGGAAAACCAAAUGGAAAUAUUUGGGGCAUCUAUGAGAAAAUUCUCCUUCAGGUCAGCAUCACUCUGUGAAGGCCAAGUUACCCUUAUCUCAAGUCUACACCAAUGGUAAUGAAUUUUUAAUAAAAAUUUCUCAGGAGAAAUUUCUUUUACUAUGACUGGCCUUUUUGUUUAAUCUCAAAACCAGAGUUAAUAAUAUACUCUGAGGUUACUUCAGACGUAGAACAAUGCCAGUGUAUGCUUUUCCUUUGUAUAACCUGUCCUUAAGGGACUAAUGGAACAACCAACCUUACUUGCCUUGAGUUUUAAGUAACCAAUCAUUAUAAUCUGAUGUAAGGCAUAGCUGUUAUUUUAAAAUAUGUUUUUCAAUGCUUCUGACCCAGAGUGUAAUGAAUUUUUAUCUAUGUAAGUGUUACAAUGAUCACAUUUGGAAAAUGGUAAAUAGGAUAAAAGCUGUUUUUAAAAAUGAAUACCCACCACAAAUAUUGAAUAAAACAUACAAAUAGUGC